AAAGAACUCUGUGGAAUCUCUAACAGCACUUCCCAUCUCUCAUCCCAGCGUUGGCCAAGGUACCUUGCAAGCUAAGCUGAAAUCACUAAGAGCUGGAAUCAC
Non-coding RNA from Sturnus vulgaris (Common starling), 102 nucleotides. The record is from RefSeq and is a predicted model, not a curated record. NCBI's taxonomy places the organism in Eukaryota, Metazoa, Chordata, Aves, Passeriformes, Sturnidae.